This is a non-coding RNA of Ictidomys tridecemlineatus (thirteen-lined ground squirrel), 72 nucleotides long. The record is from Rfam. Lineage: Eukaryota; Metazoa; Chordata; Mammalia; Rodentia; Sciuridae.
UGGGGUGUGGCUCAGCGAUAGAGCACUCACCUAGCAUGUGCGAGGCCCUGGAUUCGAUUCUCAGCACCACAU